Molecule: unclassified non-coding RNA, 359 nt
Filed under: Hevea brasiliensis (rubber tree)
Lineage: Eukaryota; Viridiplantae; Streptophyta; Magnoliopsida; Malpighiales; Euphorbiaceae
Source: RNAcentral
UAUUGUUUCGUUUUUGUUUGUUGGUUCUAGCUUUAAUUGUGCAGUUGGGUUGGAUGAUGAUAGCUUUCUGAUCUUAAUUACAAUUGUUAUUGCUUGUUUGUUAUUAUGUUGUGCAAUUAGGUUAGGUGUCUUUUUGUUUGGUUCGUAUUCAGAGCUUGGGUUUCCUCACUUUGAAGGGUUUUUAAUCAUUUGACUCAACCACCCUUAUUUAUGAGGACUUUAUUCCAUUUAUGAUCAUCAGCAGGUUUAGUUUUUAUUUUAAUUUUAGUUAAAGAGGAUGGGGAGAAAAACAAAUAAAAGCGUUUGCUUACUGAAUCUACCAUGAUAAUGCUCACUGGCUUUGUUUUAAAUCAUUUAUG